CUCGAUGUUACAGUAAUAAUUUUUCGAAGCGGGAACCUGACAAUAAUUAGGAAAAUAUAUUUCUUUGACUUAAUUAAUAACUUUGAAGCUGAAAUGUUGAUUUGUUGUUUAUAAAAUACUAUGACCGACUGUUACAUGCGAUAGAACUGAAAUUAAUUGGUAAAGUGAGAAUAAAACAGCGUAAUUAAUUAGUAAAAUGUGAGGAGUCCGAUUGAAGAAUUCCACAUUAAUAAAUGUUUUCCUGUUGUUUAUGAGGCAUUGAUAAAACGGUAAGUUGAUAAAGAUUUACUCUAAUGUUAUAUUAAUAAUAGUAAUGAUGAUGAUGAUUUCAAAACUGGCCCAGGGUCAGCAAUCUUUAAUACGAGCGAUUAGUCGAUUGCAUGGGUCCCGGUUUUUUCCUGAAAGAGAUGAAAGACAAAGUCGAUCUCAUCCGUAUUUGAACUCAGGACUUUCCGCCGAGGUUGGCUUUGUAUUUCAUUCCAUUCCGUGUGAAGAAAAUAAUAAUGAUGAUGAUGAUAAUAGUAAUCUUUUGAUUAUUAAGACAAUAAUCAUUUGUGCUUUUGACCUGAAAAUUGGCGGGAAGGCAUAAGUGAAUUACAUGGACCCUAGUACUUGAUUGCUUCUUAUUUUUCUACCUGGAAAUGAUGAAAGGCGACCUUGAUGUGAUUUGAAGUUUGAGAGUAAUGAUGCGAUCUUUUCACUUUGACUGGCAGAUUUUUAAAAUAAUUUCUAUGUAACUAUAAAAUUUAAAACUUCGUAUACUGGUAGAAUGUGCUUAAAAACAUAUUUUUCUCUUGGCUUUCUUGAGAAAAUUCUGUAGUUUGUAACAUAUAUGUUGUUUAAUAUUUUGCAUUUCGGCAAUUUCAACCACUCAAUGACGUUUAUUGAGGUGAAAGCGAUUUCUGGCGGCGUUAUACGAAAACGUCCCUGUUACAUAUAUAUUCGUUUAAGAAACAGAUUGGGUUUAUUUAGAUUUCUGAAGAAAAAAAGAUACCUUUGCCCCUAACCCUAACGCUAAAACAGAUUGAAAUGCAAUAGAUCGAUACUAGGGUCAUAAUUAUUAGUGAACACUAAAGAGGGAACGGUUUUGUUAUCCAGCUCUGUUUACGAGUGAACCCUUAGUUUAUAACCGAAGGGUAUCUUUUUUCUCAUAAAAAAACAGGGACAUUUUCAUAUGACGCCGCCAGUAAAUGUCACGGCAGAAAUCGUUUUCGCCUCAAUAGACGUCUUUGAUUGGUUGUAAUUGCCGAAAUGCAAGAAAUUAAACAACAAAUAUGUUACAAACUACAGAAUUUUCUCAAGAAAGCCAAGAGAAAAAGAUGCUUUAUAAACACAUUCUACCAGUAUAGGAAGUUUAAAAUUGUUUAGUUACAUAGAAUUUAUUUUAAAAAUCUGCCGGUCAAAGCGAAAAGAACCUAAUGAUGUGCAGGACACUGACCAUGGGCUCAUCAUAGACAACAUGAAGACAGGGACCUUCACUGCUGGCUAGCUAGCGAGCUGGUCCAGAGAAGGGAAUUCCGGUCAGCAACAUGAAGUCUUAAAUCAAACAUUUUUCCGAUAGGUAAAGGUGAAGUGUGUAGUAAACUUGUGUGGGUAUACCAAUGUUUCAACGCCUCAAUGAACUCUGACCCCUGUAAACUUUGACAUUAAAUGGCUGACAGUGUUCAUGUUGUAAUAUUUACAAUCUUGAAUUACUAUGUCACUUAACUAUCCUCUUUAUCUUACUGUUUCUUUUUUUAUUUCAGAAUAUCACAUCAUGUUGACAUAAAAGGAAUUACUUCAUUCAGAUGUGCCUCUGAUAUUUUUAUCAACUUUCAUCAACUAAUGAAGACGAUAUAUUUAUAAGGAGCCUUCAUCUAUACAUCAACGUUUCUAUAUAAAUAUAAUCUAUGACAAACAACAGCAGAAUAUUUUUCUUGUCUUCACUGUCUGGAAUGUAGAGGAGGUGAUUGCUUUACAAGUUUGGAUAACUUUACAAAAGAGUUGACAGUUUUCACCUGUUGAUUUAGGUAUUAAGUAAGAUCACAGAUGAAAGAAACAUAG
RNAcentral lists this long non-coding RNA (2043 nucleotides) under Octopus vulgaris (common octopus). The record is from RNAcentral. Lineage: Eukaryota; Metazoa; Mollusca; Cephalopoda; Octopoda; Octopodidae.